CUUAAAUAAGGCUUUAUUACCUUGUGAUAUUUACCCAUGUGUUAGUUUCAAGUGUUAAUACUUGUUGACUUAGAUGACAGUAUCCACUUAAACUGCUCAAUUCUUCUUUUUAAAUAGUGCAUGGAAUGCAGAGUAAAACAUGUCCAUGGAAUCGCAAGGUCAACAGCCAUUCAUAUAAUAGACAAAUGAACAACUGAGAGCUUUGCAGGUCUUUACAUGACUUAUA
Molecule: non-coding RNA, 226 nt
Organism: Pelobates cultripes (western spadefoot toad)
Lineage: Eukaryota; Metazoa; Chordata; Amphibia; Anura; Pelobatidae
Source: the annotation of a GenBank genome assembly